Molecule: ribosomal RNA, 542 nt
Filed under: Zanclorhynchus spinifer
Lineage: Eukaryota; Metazoa; Chordata; Actinopteri; Perciformes; Zanclorhynchidae
Description: partial 16S large subunit ribosomal RNA
Rfam family: Bacterial large subunit ribosomal RNA
Source: RNAcentral
UAAGAGGUCCCGCCUGCCCUGUGACUAUAUGUUUAACGGCCGCGGUAUUCUAACCGUGCGAAGGUAGCGCAAUCACUUGUCUUUUAAAUGAGGACCUGUAUGAAUGGCAUGACGAGGGCUUGACUGUCUCCUCUCUCAAGUCAAUGAAAUUGAUCUCCCCGUGCAGAAGCGGGGAUACAACCAUAAGACGAGAAGACCCUAUGGAGCUUUAGACACUAAGGUGGGCUAUGUUAAUCACCCCCACAUAAGGGGUAGAACCUAUUAGACCCCCGCCCGAAUGUCUUCGGUUGGGACGACCACGGAGCAACACAGAGCCUCUGUGCGGAAUGGGGGUAGAACCCCUACAAUCAAGAGCUGCAGCUCUAACUAGCAGAAUUUUUGUCCAAUUAGAUCCGGCAAUGCCGAUUAACGAACCAAGUUACCCUAGGGAUAACAGCGCAAUCCCCUUUUAGAGCCCGUAUCGACAAGGGGGUUUACGACCUCGAUGUUGGAUCAGGACAUCCUAAUGGUGUAACCGCUUUUAAGGGUUCGUUUGUUCAACG